RNAcentral lists this ribosomal RNA (375 nucleotides) under uncultured organism. RNAcentral describes it as "bacterial SSU rRNA". It matches the Rfam family "Bacterial small subunit ribosomal RNA", at positions 526 to 896 of the family's 1533-position model. The record is from RNAcentral.
CGGGGGGAGCAAGCGUUGUUCGGAUUUACUGGGCGUAAAGGGCGGGUAGGCGGCCACUGCAAGUCGGUUGUGAAAUCUCCGGGCUUAACUCGGAAAGGUCAAUCGAUACUGCAGGGCUAGAGUGCAGAAGGGGCAACUGGAAUUCUCGGUGUAGCGGUGAAAUGCGUAGAUAUCGAGAGGAACACCUGCGGCGAAGGCGGGUUGCUGGGCUGACACUGACGCUGAACUGCGAAAGCUAGGGGGAGCGAACGGGAUUAGAUACCCCGGUAGUCCUAGCCUUAAACGAUGAAUGCUUGGUGUCUGGGGUUUUAUAGUCCCCGGGUGCCGUCGCUAACGCUUUAAGCAUUCCGCCUGGGGAGUACGGUCGCAAGACUG